RNAcentral lists this ribosomal RNA (612 nucleotides) under Vibrio neptunius. Its description in RNAcentral is "bacterial SSU rRNA". It matches the Rfam family "Bacterial small subunit ribosomal RNA", at positions 337 to 941 of the family's 1533-position model. The record is from RNAcentral. Lineage: Bacteria; Pseudomonadati; Pseudomonadota; Gammaproteobacteria; Vibrionales; Vibrionaceae.
UCCUACGGGAGGCAGCAGUGGGGAAUAUUGCACAAUGGGCGCAAGCCUGAUGCAGCCAUGCCGCGUGUAUGAAGAAGGCCUUCGGGUUGUAAAGCACUUUCAGUAGUGAGGAAGGUGGUGUCGUUAAUAGCGGUAUCAUUUGACGUUAGCUACAGAAGAAGCACCGGCUAACUCCGUGCCAGCAGCCGCGGUAAUACGGAGGGUGCGAGCGUUAAUCGGAAUUACUGGGCGUAAAGCGCAUGCAGGUGGUUUGUUAAGUCAGAUGUGAAAGCCCGGGGCUCAACCUCGGAAUUGCAUUUGAAACUGACAAACUAGAGUACUGUAGAGGGGGGUAGAAUUUCAGGUGUAGCGGUGAAAUGCGUAGAGAUCUGAAGGAAUACCGGUGGCGAAGGCGGCCCCCUGGACAGAUACUGACACUCAGAUGCGAAAGCGUGGGGAGCAAACAGGAUUAGAUACCCUGGUAGUCCACGCCGUAAACGAUGUCUACUUGGAGGUUGUGCCCUUGAGCCGUGGCUUUCGGAGCUAACGCGUUAAGUAGACCGCCUGGGGAGUACGGUCGCAAGAUUAAAACUCAAAUGAAUUGACGGGGGCCCGCACAAGCGGUGGAGCAUG